UCCUUAAAGACUAAGAAAACACUUGCCUCCCUUCCAGCUCCUUUUCCUGGUGCUCUGAGGAACAUUUCGGGAGCCUCCAGAACUGAAGAGGGGGCCAACUCUCUGGAGAAAAAUGAAUGGAUGUAGGCCCAAAGGAGCCGAAUGUUUUCCUUGGCUGAAUGGCAAGCAAGCACCAAGUGUCCACAGUUUCCGGAGUGUGGAUAUGAACAGCCGUCUUGGGUCCUGAGGUGGAAGCCAUGUGUGGAAGAUGGAGGGCAUCGGUUAGAAGGAGUCUAGUCCCUGAUGGUCACUGAGCUGCAGAACCAGCCUGGGCUGCUUCCUGCUGGAUGUCACUUACUAGAGAGCGAAAUUAAAUGUGCUUCAGCUACUGUUA
RNAcentral lists this long non-coding RNA (373 nucleotides) under Homo sapiens (human). RNAcentral's name for it is "HSALNT0362691". Lineage: Eukaryota; Metazoa; Chordata; Mammalia; Primates; Hominidae. The record is from RNAcentral.